AGUGAACGCUGGCGGUAGGCCUAACACAUGCAAGUCGAACGGCAGCACAGUAAGAGCUUGCUCUUACGGGUGGCGAGUGGCGGACGGGUGAGGCAUACAUCGGAAUCUACUUUUUCGUGGGGGAUAACGUAGGGAAACUUCCGCUAAUACCGCAUACGACCUACGGGUGAAAGCAGGGGAUCUUCGGACCUUGCGCGAUUGAAUGAGCCGAUGUCGGAUUAGCUAGUUGGCGGGGUAAAGGCCCACCAAGGCGACGAUCCGUAGCUGGUCUGAGAGGAUGAUCAGCCACACUGGAACUGAGACACGGUCCAGACUCCUACGGGAGGCAGCAGUGGGGAAUAUUGGACAAUGGGCGCAAGCCUGAUCCAGCCAUACCGCGUGGGUGAAGAAGGCCUUCGGGUUGUAAAGCCCUUUUGUUGGGAAAGAAAAGCAGCAGGUGAAUACCCCGCUGUUCUGACGGUACCCAAAGAAUAAGCACCGGCUAACUUCGUG
Molecule: ribosomal RNA, 492 nt
Filed under: uncultured bacterium
Lineage: Bacteria
Description: partial 16S ribosomal RNA
Rfam family: Bacterial small subunit ribosomal RNA
Source: RNAcentral